Biomphalaria glabrata is the source of this 96-nucleotide small nucleolar RNA. RefSeq annotates it as small nucleolar RNA U13. The record is from RefSeq and is a predicted model, not a curated record. NCBI's taxonomy places the organism in Eukaryota, Metazoa, Mollusca, Gastropoda, Planorbidae. The transcript has a single exon.
AUCCUUUCGGUUCAAAUAUAUGAUGAAUGGUUUCAUCAUGCCUUAUGCAUGAAAGGGCAGCCCACCUUGUUACGCCAUGCCCUUAGCCUUCUGAUA